This 1474-nucleotide ribosomal RNA is filed under the name metagenome. Its description in RNAcentral is "bacterial SSU rRNA". It matches the Rfam family "Bacterial small subunit ribosomal RNA". The record is from RNAcentral.
AGAGUUUGAUCAUGGCUCAGGACGAACGCUGGCGGCGUGCCUAACACAUGCAAGUCGAACGGACGAGGCCCCUUCGGGGACCGAGUUAGUGGCGGACGGGUGAGUAACGCGUGAGCAACCUGCCUUUCAGAGGGGGACAACAGUUGGAAACGGCUGCUAAUACCGCAUGAUGCAGCGAGAUCGCAUGGUCUUGCUGUCAAAGAUUUAUCGCUGAAAGAUGGGCUCGCGUCUGAUUAGCUAGUUGGAGGGGUAACGGCCCACCAAGGCGACGAUCAGUAGCCGGACUGAGAGGUUGAACGGCCACAUUGGGACUGAGAUACGGCCCAGACUCCUACGGGAGGCAGCAGUGGGGAAUAUUGGGCAAUGGGGGAAACCCUGACCCAGCAACGCCGCGUGAAGGAAGAAGGCUUUCGGGUUGUAAACUUCUUUUACCAGGGACGAAGAACGUGACGGUACCUGGAGAAAAAGCCACGGCUAACUACGUGCCAGCAGCCGCGGUAAUACGUAGGUGGCAAGCGUUGUCCGGAUUUACUGGGUGUAAAGGGCGUGUAGGCGGAGCUGCAAGUCAGAUGUGAAAUCAGGGGGCUUAACCCUCAAACUGCAUUUGAAACUGUAGCCCUUGAGUAUCGGAGAGGCAGGCGGAAUUCCUAGUGUAGCGGCGAAAUGCGUAGAUAUUAGGAAGAACACCAGUGGCGAAGGCGGCCUGCUGGACGACAACUGACGCUGAGGCGCGAAAGCGUGGGGAGCAAACAGGAUUAGAUACCCUGGUAGUCCACGCUGUAAACGAUGAAUACUAGGUGUGGGGGGGCUGACCCCCUCCGUGCCGGAGUUAACACAAUAAGUAUUCCACCUGGGGAGUACGACCGCAAGGUUGAAACUCAAAGGAAUUGACGGGGGCCCGCACAAGCAGUGGAUUAUGUGGUUUAAUUCGACGCAACGCGAAGCACCUUACCGGGAUUUGACAUCCUACUAACGAAGCAGAGAUGCAUUAGGUGCCCUUCGGGGAAAGUAGAGACAGGUGGUGCAUGGUUGUCGUCAGCUCGUGUCGUGAGAUGUUGGGUUAAGUCCCGCAACGAGCGCAACCCCUAUUGUUAGUUGCUACGCAAGAGCACUCUAGCGAGACUGCCGUUGACAAAACGGAGGAAGGCGGGGACGACGUCAAAUCAUCAUGCCCCUUAUGUCCCGGGCUACACACGUAAUACAAUGGCGGUCAACAAAGGGAAGCAAAGCCGCGAGGCAGAGCAAACCCCCAAAAGCCGUCUCAGUUCGGAUUGCAGGCUGCAACUCGCCUGCAUGAAGCUGGAAUUGCUAGUAAUCGUGGAUCAGAAUGCCACGGUGAAUACGUUCCCGGGCCUUGUACACACCGCCCGUCACACCAUGAGAGUCGGGAACACCCGAAGUCCGUAGUCUAACCCGCAAGGGAGGGCGCGGCCGAAGGUGGGUCUGAUAAUUGGGGUGAAGUCGUAACAAGGUA